GAAGGGGUAAGGUAGCCCGGGGGAAGGGGGGAGUUCUAGAGCAGCGCUGACCUUUUGUUACAAAAUCCCAAACCUCACUGAAGCUUUGCUAUAAACCCAGAAUUGGUCCAGGCUCUUCCAAAGGUCGGUGAACACGGCCCGAGUUUCAGUAGGGAUACGUCUACACUACAAGCACUACAGCAGCGCUGCUGUAGCACUGUCAUGCAGCAACAGAAGGGGCUUGUCCAUCGCUGGAGUAACUCCACCUCUCCGAGAGGCCAUGCCUAGGUCGACGGAAGAAUGGGCCUUGUUGCUGAUUCCGUACAAAGAAAGUUGACAGAAGACAUUCAUUUAAGACCCAAGAUAUUCAAAGCAAAAUUUCAUUCAAGAGGACACAGAAACAUUCUUGCAAGCUUAUACAAAACAAGUUACUUGAGGCAAACGAAGCACUCCAGAGAGAAGUAUUUGUCCUGGCAAGAAUAUUUAUAAAUGAACCAUUAAUAUUAUGACAUUGUACCAACAGCAUUGCAGGUUGCCUGUUUUCC
This is a long non-coding RNA of Mauremys mutica (yellowpond turtle), 524 nucleotides long. RefSeq lists it as uncharacterized. NCBI's taxonomy places the organism in Eukaryota, Metazoa, Chordata, Testudines, Geoemydidae. The transcript has 3 exons. The record is from RefSeq and is a predicted model, not a curated record.